GUCCAGUCCCUGGAAGAUGAAGUUAGUUAGCAUUUGGUGCCCAGCCAGCAGCAAUGUGACUUAGGCUUUUCGUCCUAGUAGGAAUUUGACUCAUUGGGCCUGCAAAAGAUUUUCGUGACAAAUGAAAUAUUUUUCUAAACCAAGGACUUGGGGAUAACUUCAGGGUCAAAGACAUCUUAUCAUAUUUAAGAACAGCCACAGGAUGUCUAGGAGCCAGCAGAGGGGCCAGAUAUGCUGCAGUUUAUGCUGUAAAAGGAAGCCUGCCGCCGUGAGUGGUCCAGUGGGAGCUCUUGCUUUGUGUCCUCAGCCUUUCACCUUUCCAUCUGAUGACUUGCUCUGAAUCUUCACUUCCUGGGCAGAUGAGGAAACAUGAUGUUCAGAAAGGUAUAUGACUUGAUCAAGAACCCACAACCAGGCAAUGAGAGGAAUAUGAGGCAAAAUCCAAUCUACUUGAUUCCACAGAGCUCUGAGUAUAGAUGAGGCAAACUUCACAUGGAAAAGAAGCCAUAUUUUGAAAAAACUACACGGAAUCAAAGAGAACUAACUCAAAGAAGCAAAAUUUUGGAGAUAAAACAAGCACCAUUCAGAAUCUGGACAUAUAAUAUGUUUAUGGCAUUUAACCUAGUCAGACAGUAGAUAUUGCUCUAAGUCAUGGCCUACACCUGUGAGCCUACUUAUAUCAGCAUUUGCCAAAUGUACUUGUAGCUGUGGUACUGACCUCAGAGAACUUAGCCAAAGAGCAAAGACUGCCUAAUUCAAGAAGUACUGGCUGUACAGGAAGCAUAAUGCCAGCAUCUGUUUCUGGUGAGGCCUCAGGAAGCUUUUACUUAUGGUGGAAGGUGAAGGAGGAACAGGUGUCUCACAGGGCAAGAGGAGCAAGAGGGAGCAGAGAAGAUGUUCCAGGAUUACUUCAUGCUGUCCAGGUCCUAGACAUGGAAUCGUUUGCUUCUUCAAAAGUCUGGAUCCCUUUAAGAUACGAAAUGUAUUUAGAAACCAAAGUAUGGAUGCUAGGUGUGCUCAUGGCCAUUGGAGUGUGUUUCUAGACCCAGGAAUAAGCAAACAAUGGCCUGUAAACUAUAUCCUGUCUGUGGCCUGUUUUUGUACAUCCUAAGAACUAAAAAUUAUUUUAAAAAUUGUAAAUGGGAAAAAGUCAACAACAACAAACAAAUCAACAAAUAACCCCACAAAUAAACAGUUUCUUAAAGACCAGAAUGACCAAGAAAUCUAUGAAACAGAGACCGUAUACUGCCCAG
Molecule: long non-coding RNA, 1253 nt
Filed under: Homo sapiens (human)
Lineage: Eukaryota; Metazoa; Chordata; Mammalia; Primates; Hominidae
Description: HSALNT0311156
Source: RNAcentral